GAGUUUUUCACAUGUUAUGCUUUCUGAACCAGGAUGAUUAUUUAUAAUCAAAGAACAGGUGGUUUUUGGCGGUUGAUGGAAGUUAUUUAUUUUUAAAAAUUGCCGUUGAUGGAAGUUUUAGUAACUUCCAUGUAACUUCCAACCGUUGAUGGAAGUUUUAGUAACUUCCAUGUAAUUUCCAACCUUUGCCUAAACCGAACAUCUCGUUAUUACAUUAAAACAAGCGUGCACUCUUAUUUUAACAUAAUAAAGAGAUCAAUUACACUAAAAUGUCCAACAAACCUCCCCCAUUUUAGUGUAAUUACCGAUCAAAUCACCAAAGUCAUAACAUACCACAAACUACUGCAUAGAUGAAAUAUCGUGACGAUUGAAUUUCAUCUUAGCAAAUUACACGUUUCAAAUAUUCGAAUAUCAGGGUGUCACUAAGGAUUGAACCCUUUCUAUUCAUAAUGAAUACAUGAAGAUAAUCUGCACAAUAGUUUAUAACAUUACUCUUGCUCGACACUAGUUUUACUAGCCUGUGUCCCUAUCCUUCAUAAGCAUAUCAAAGCCAAGUCCCAGCUUCUUGAAGCGGCUAAACUUCAUGCUUAUAUAGGUAGUCCUUUUCUUUCUUGCACCUGUAAAUGCAAUUUUUCAAAAGAACCAUUGAGAAGUUAUACUUCAACCUCCUUAACUUACAGAACCGAACACAUACCUUUUGGGAUACUUUCGAUGAUGUGUUCCAAUCUCUACAUGUUAAGCUUUCCACAUUGAAUUCAACACCUAAUGUCAUAUUAGAUGGGAAUUGGGUAUCUUAACAUAAGAGAUUUCAGAUGGACUUUAAUCCUAAUCCCACAGCCGACCUUUUUACGAGAUCUCUACUUAACCCUUUGGUUAAAUGAUCGGCCAAAUUAUGCUGAGUUCUCACAAACUCCACUGAUAUCACACCAUGCAUGAUUAACUCCCGAACCAUGUUGUGUCUAACACCCAAGUGUCUAGACUUCCCAUUAUACACUUGACUAUAUGCCUUAGCCAAAGUUGCCUGACUAUCACACCUGAUAGACAUGGGAGGUAUAGGUUUGGGCCACAAUGGAAUCUCAUAGAUUAGAUUUCUUAGCCACUCAGCUUCUUUACCAGCUGCUGCUAAAGCUACAAAUUCAGAUUCCAUUGUUGAAUUUGUAAUGCAGGUCUGUUUCUUGGAUGCCCAAGAGAUAGCACCUCCUCCAAGGAGGAAUACCCAACCACUUGUGGAUGAAUAAUCCUCCAUAUUGGUUAUCCAACUUGCAUCAGAGUAACCUUCAAUAACCGAAGGAAAUCCAGUAUAUGUCAAACCAUAGUCAAUGGUUCCCUUUAAGUACUUGAAUACUCUAUUCAUAGCUUGCCAAUGAUGAGAACUAGGAUUACUUGUAAACCUACUGAGUUUAGCAACAGCAUAAGCUAUAUCAGGCCUAGUACUAAUCAUUGCAUACAUGAGUGAUCCUAUCGCCCUUGAGUAUUCAAGUUGAGACACUGCUACACCUUUAUUAGAUAAUAGCUUCAGGUUAGGAUCAAUGGGAGUACUUACCGGAGAACAAUCUUUAAAAUUAAAUUUAUCCAAUAUCUUCUCAAUAUAAUGUGAUUGAGAGAUGGAAAUACCAUUGUUUCCACGUUUGAUCUUUAUUCCUAAGAUCACAUCCGCCUCCCCCAUAUCUUUCAUAUCAAACUUAGAAGACAAAAAUGCCUUAGUUUCAUCAACUUGAUCUUGGUCGGUACCAAAGAUCAACAUGUCGUCUACAUACAGACAAAUGAUAACUCCUUUGCCAUGAGUAUCAAACUUGCUGUAUAGACAUUUAUCUGCUUGGUUUAUAACAAAACCACUAGACAACACAACCUCAUCAAAUUUUUGAUGCCAUUGCUUAGGCGCUUGUUUCAAGCCAUAAAGAGAUUUCAUCAGUUUACACACCUUAUUUUCAUUUCCUGGCAUAACAAACCCUUCAGGUUGUUUCAUGUAUAUCUCUUCAUCCAAUUCACCAUUUAAGAAUGCAGUUUUCACAUCCAUUUGGUGAAUCAUCAGAUUGUGGAUAGCAGCAAGUGCUAACAACAGUCUAAUAGUGGAUAUCCUAGCAACAGGAGCAUAUGUAUCGAAAAAAUCAAUACCCUCCUUUUGCCUAAAGCCUUGGAUAACCAAUCUGGCUUUGUACUUGUCAACAGUACCAUCCACUUUCAUCUUUCUCCUAAAGAUCAUCUUACAUCCUAAUGGCUUACAUCCAGGAGGUAAGUCAACCAAUUUCCAUGUAUUAUUUUGCAUGAUGGAAUCCAUCUCACUUUGGAUUGCUUCUUUCCAGAAUACAGCAUCCCUUGAAGCCAUUGCUUCACUAAAAGUCUUUGGGUCUUCCUCAACAUUAAGGCAAUAUUGAUAUUGAAAUUCAAUAUCAUUCCUUGACCCUUCAACCAAAUAGAGUUGAAAGUCAUCACCAAAUGACUUAGCUUUUCUUACUCUCGUACUCUUUCUAGUUUCAGUACUAGUUGAAGGUAUAUCCUCAAUAUUAACUGAGACUUUCGACAUGGAAUUCAUGUCUUUUGGCCUAGGUAUAGAUGUAAACCUUUGUUCAUCAAAGAUAGCAUCCCGUGACUCUAUAACCGAGUUCACAGCAACAGAAUCAUUAGAUUCUAGCACAUAGAAUCUAUAUGCUUUAGAAUGUUCAGCAUAUCCAAUAAAUAUGCAAUCUAUACCUCUUUCACCUAUGGUUUUCCUUUUAGGUUCUGUAAGCCUGACUACAGCCCUACAUCCCCAAAUUUUGAGAUAACUCAAAUUUGGUGUCUUUUUGUGCCAAAGUUCAUAUGGGGUAACCUUAUUCCUUUUGUUAGGAAUUCGGUUCAACAAGUAACAGGCUGUCAACAUAGCCUCACCCCAAAAUCCUUCACUUAAACCCGAAUAGGAUAACAUGGAAUUCACCAUUUCUUUCAAGGUUCUAUUCUUCCUUUCGGCUACACCAUUCUGUUGUGGUGUAUAGGGAGCUGUAGUUUGAUGUAUUAUUCCAGUAGAUUGAAAAUAAACCGGAUCAUAAUACUCACCUCCCCUAUCCGUACGAAGAGUUUUGAUUAGCCCAUUUUGAUGAAGUUCUACCUCUUUCUUAUAAAUUUUAAAUUUAUCAAGAGCUUCAUCUUUUGUAUUUAAUAAAUAUACAUAACAAUACCUUGAUGCAUCAUCAAUAAAAGUAACAAGAUAUUUUUUAUGACCUAAUGAUGGAGUAGCAUGCAAAUCACACAAAUCACUAUGAAUAAGGUCUAAGACUUUAGUCUCACUUUUAACAUCCUUAAAAGGUUUCCUAGUGAUCUUGGUCAACAUGCAAGUUUUGCAUUUUCCAAUGUUCAUAUCAAAAGGAGGAAUCAUACUUGUUUUUGACAUAUCUUUUAAUCUUUUGUAAUGAACAUGUCCUAAUCUAGCAUGCCAAAUUUCUGAUUUUGUCAUAUUAGUUAUAGAACUACACGAGGCCAUACAAACAGAUUCAUGAACAAAAGGAACAUCAAUGUUUAAUUUAAACAUUCCAUUACAACGAUAACCAAAUCCAACAAACGAACCAUGUCUUGACAAGAUGUACUUGUCACUUUCAAGUACUUGCUUGAAACCACAAUUAUUUAAAACCAUACCAGACAAUAAGUUCUUACGAAUACCAGGUACAAAUAAGACAUUAUCCAAAUACAAACUUUUUCCGGAAGUAAAAACUAAAUUCACACAACCUAAUCCUAGGAUUGGUUCAGUUGCAACAUUGCCCAUCUUCACAAUAGAGCCAUCAUCGAUUGGUCUAAAUUCCUUGAACCAACGACGAUCUUUGCACACAUGGCUUGUUGCUCCCGAAUCAAACCACCAAGCAACGUCAUCAUCUUGCACAUAGAAUGCAUCAGAUAUUAGUGAUACAUAAUUUGAAUUCGUAUUCGAAUUAAAAUUAUUCACUACAAUCUGACCUUGUUGCUUUUCAGGAUCAUUAGACCCACUUGGACCAGCCUUGUUCUUUCCUUUGAACACCCGGCAAUCCCUCUUUAAAUGACCAGGUUUCCCACACUUCCAACAUGACAAUUUUGUCUGUUUGUUUGGACCUUUGUUCUUAUUUCCUUGAAAUUUUCGUUUGUUACCUUUAGCAUUGUAAUUUUGCUUAACUGUUCCACUUUCCUCUACCAUAUUAACGGAAGAGGAACCUGCUACGGUUUUAUUAUUGACUUUGUCAAUUUCCUGAGCCCUCAGCGACUCCUCAAUCAUGAAAUGACUGCCGAGUUGAACCAGAGUCAACUCUUCCUUCAUAUGUUUCAAGGUAUGCUUGAAGUCUUUUCAAGAAGAAGACAGUUUAUCAAUUAUAGAUGAAACUGCAAUGAAUUCAUCCAUUUUCAAAUCAUGUUGAGUAAACUGACCCAAAAUCCGCAGCAGUUCAUUAUAUUGCUCCAUAACAGGCCUCGAAUCAAUCAUUUUGUAAUUAAAGAAAUUACUAACUAAGAAUUUGUUACUUGAGGCAUCUUCUGCCAUAUACUUGGAUUCAAGAGAGUCCCAUAAUUCCUUAGCAGACUCAACAUUUUGAUAAAUAUCAAAGAGAGAGUCAGACAUACCGUUCAGAAUGUGUCCACGACAAAUGUAAUCGUCGUUCUCCCAUUUCGAACGCUUCCUUGUUUGAUCCAGAGUUUCGCCUUCCAUAUACACCGGCAUCGGUGUACUCAGCACAUACACCACAUUCAAUGUUGUCAAGAGAAAGUGCAUCUUCUUCUGCCAUCUUCUGAAAUCCUGCCCUUCAAACUUGUCCAACUUUGCAAACUUGCUUGUCAUCUUCGAACUAUCGUUCGUCAUCUCGAAAGAUUUGAUUCAAUCUUUUGUUGGUUAAUUUUGAAAAUCGAGAUAAUCCUGGAUAAAUCUGAAGUCGUGUAUAAACACUUUCAGAUUGAAUCAAAUUUCGGGGUUCAACCAAAAUUGUUCAAUCGGAUAAAAUCAGAAGAUUAUAAUUCAAGAGUUUUGUUUUGGUCUUGUGAGUUUUUCACAUGUUAUGCUUUCUAAACCAGAAUGAUUAUUUAUAAUCAAAGAACAGGUGGUUUUUGGCGGUUGAUGGAAGUUAUUUAUUUUUAAAAAUUGCCGUUGAUGGAAGUUUUAGUAACUUCCAUGUAACUUCCAACCGUUGAUGGAAGUUUUAGUAACUUCCAUGUAAUUUCCAACCUUUGCCUAAACCGAACAUCUCGUUAUUACAUUAAAACAAGCGUGCACUCUUAUUUUAACAUAAUAAAGAGAUCAAUUACACUAAAAUGUCCAACAUGCACACUUCUCCUCAUGCCCCCUACUUCCACCUGUACAUUUGCUACCUCUGCUUUGCUGACAUGGCUUGUCCUGUGACUUAAUUGUUUUGCUAUGCAAUUUUUAUUUUUCCUCCAUCCGUAUCAUAUCAACAUCGCUGACUGGCAGAUUAGACCACUCUCUAGUCUUAGAGAGCAUUGCAUGAAAACUUACAAAUUAAAGUAUCCCCCUAAAAUAUUAAACUAGCUAGCAUCAAGUUGACAGAAUAGUGAGAAAAUCAGAUCUAAUUAUUCAUUCCAGCAACAAGGAAAACAUCUACCCUCAAGAAGACCUACUCUCGAGUCCUAAACGAUGUAAAUUAGUUAAGUUAGUUGCAAAGUUGUUUUUUACUUUUUUGUAUAGACCACAUACUCCACCGGAGGAAAUCUGUUUGAGCACCAUAGGACCACUAACGUAACAAAGUUCUCUCUAAGUAUUUA
Molecule: long non-coding RNA, 5706 nt
Filed under: Glycine max (soybean)
Lineage: Eukaryota; Viridiplantae; Streptophyta; Magnoliopsida; Fabales; Fabaceae
Description: long non-coding RNA (GMAX_LNC004586)
Source: RNAcentral